GACGAACGCUGGCGGCGUGCCUAAUACAUGCAAGUAGAACGCUGAAGGAGGAGCUUGCUUCUCUGGAUGAGUUGCGAACGGGUGAGUAACGCGUAGGUAACCUACCUGGUAGCGGGGGAUAACUAUUGGAAACGAUAGCUAAUACCGCAUAAGAGUAGAUGUCGCAUGACAUUUGCUUAAAAGGUGCAAUUGCAUCACUACCAGAUGGACCUGCGUUGUAUUAGCUAGUUGGUGAGGUAACGGCUCACCAAGGCAACGAUACAUAGCCGACCUGAGAGGGUGAUCGGCCACACUGGGACUGAGACACGGCCCAGACUCCUACGGGAGGCAGCAGUAGGGAAUCGUCGGCAAUGGACGGAAGUCUGACCGAGCAACGCCGCGUGAGUGAAGAAGGUUUUCGGAUCGUAAAGCUCUGUUGUAAGAGAAGAACGAGUGUGAGAGUGGAAAGUUCACACUGUGACGGUAUCUUACCAGAAAGGGACGGCUAACUACGUG
Molecule: ribosomal RNA, 495 nt
Filed under: uncultured bacterium
Lineage: Bacteria
Description: partial 16S ribosomal RNA
Rfam family: Bacterial small subunit ribosomal RNA
Source: RNAcentral